Molecule: ribosomal RNA, 1414 nt
Filed under: Bacillus sp. R51(2015)
Lineage: Bacteria; Bacillati; Bacillota; Bacilli; Caryophanales; Bacillaceae
Description: bacterial SSU rRNA
Rfam family: Bacterial small subunit ribosomal RNA
Source: RNAcentral
GGCGUUGCCUAUACAUGCAAGUCGAGCGGACAGAUGGGAGCUUGCUCCCUGAUGUUAGCGGCGGACGGGUGAGUAACACGUGGGUAACCUGCCUGUAAGACUGGGAUAACUCCGGGAAACCGGGGCUAAUACCGGAUGGUUGUUUGAACCGCAUGGUUCAGACAUAAAAGGUGGCUUCGGCUACCACUUACAGAUGGACCCGCGGCGCAUUAGCUAGUUGGUGAGGUAACGGCUCACCAAGGCGACGAUGCGUAGCCGACCUGAGAGGGUGAUCGGCCACACUGGGACUGAGACACGGCCCAGACUCCUACGGGAGGCAGCAGUAGGGAAUCUUCCGCAAUGGACGAAAGUCUGACGGAGCAACGCCGCGUGAGUGAUGAAGGUUUUCGGAUCGUAAAGCUCUGUUGUUAGGGAAGAACAAGUGCCGUUCAAAUAGGGCGGCACCUUGACGGUACCUAACCAGAAAGCCACGGCUAACUACGUGCCAGCAGCCGCGGUAAUACGUAGGUGGCAAGCGUUGUCCGGAAUUAUUGGGCGUAAAGGGCUCGCAGGCGGUUUCUUAAGUCUGAUGUGAAAGCCCCCGGCUCAACCGGGGAGGGUCAUUGGAAACUGGGGAACUUGAGUGCAGAAGAGGAGAGUGGAAUUCCACGUGUAGCGGUGAAAUGCGUAGAGAUGUGGAGGAACACCAGUGGCGAAGGCGACUCUCUGGUCUGUAACUGACGCUGAGGAGCGAAAGCGUGGGGAGCGAACAGGAUUAGAUACCCUGGUAGUCCACGCCGUAAACGAUGAGUGCUAAGUGUUAGGGGGUUUCCGCCCCUUAGUGCUGCAGCUAACGCAUUAAGCACUCCGCCUGGGGAGUACGGUCGCAAGACUGAAACUCAAAGGAAUUGACGGGGGCCCGCACAAGCGGUGGAGCAUGUGGUUUAAUUCGAAGCAACGCGAAGAACCUUACCAGGUCUUGACAUCCUCUGACAAUCCUAGAGAUAGGACGUCCCCUUCGGGGGCAGAGUGACAGGUGGUGCAUGGUUGUCGUCAGCUCGUGUCGUGAGAUGUUGGGGUUAAGUCCCGCAACGAGCGCAACCCUUUGAUCUUAAGUUGCCAGCAUUCCAGUUGGGCAACUCUAAAGGGGACUGGCCGGUGACAAACCCGGAGGAAAGGUGGGGGAUAACGUCCAAAUCAUCCUUGGCCCCUUAUGGACCUGGGGGUACCCACCCUGUUACAAUGGGCCAGAACCAAAGGGCGGCGGAAACCCCCGGGGGGUAGCCCAAUCCCCCCAAAAUUUUUUUCUCCCUUUUGGGAAACAAAAUCUUGGCAACUCCACCCGCGUGGAGACUGGGAAUCCCUUUUUAAAUCCCGGGAUAUACAAUCCCCCGGGGGGAAAAAAUUUUCCCGGGCCCUUUUUACCCACCGCCCC